This 32-nucleotide non-coding RNA is filed under the name Mus musculus (house mouse). The record is from RNAcentral. Lineage: Eukaryota; Metazoa; Chordata; Mammalia; Rodentia; Muridae.
AACAAAAAACAAAAACCUUGGACAUUUUUCUU